This 19-nucleotide non-coding RNA is filed under the name Arabidopsis thaliana (thale cress). The record is from RNAcentral. Lineage: Eukaryota; Viridiplantae; Streptophyta; Magnoliopsida; Brassicales; Brassicaceae.
GGGCCUCUCCACCUAUUGC